AUUGAACGCUGGCGGCAUGCUUUACACAUGCAAGUCGAACGGCAGCGCGGGCUUCGGCCUGGCGGCGAGUGGCGAACGGGUGAGUAAUGCAUCGGAACGUGCCCAGUAGUGGGGGAUAACCCGGCGAAAGCCGGAUUAAUACCGCAUACGACCUGAGGGUGAAAGCGGGGGACCGAAAGGCCUCGCGCUAUUGGAGCGGCCGAUGUCGGAUUAGCUAGUUGGUGGGGUAAAGGCUUACCAAGGCGACGAUCCGUAGCUGGUCUGAGAGGACGACCAGCCACACUGGGACUGAGACACGGCCCAGACUCCUACGGGAGGCAGCAGUGGGGAAUUUUGGACAAUGGGGGCAACCCUGAUCCAGCCAUGCCGCGUGCGGGAAGAAGGCCUUCGGGUUGUAAACCGCUUUUGUUCGGGAAGAAAUCCUCUGGGCUAAUACCCCGGGGGGAUGACGGUACCGGAAGAAUAAGCACCGGCUAACUACGUG
Molecule: ribosomal RNA, 484 nt
Filed under: uncultured bacterium
Lineage: Bacteria
Description: partial 16S ribosomal RNA
Rfam family: Bacterial small subunit ribosomal RNA
Source: RNAcentral